This 67-nucleotide small RNA is filed under the name Domibacillus iocasae. RNAcentral's name for it is "Bacillaceae-1 RNA". It matches the Rfam family "Bacillaceae-1 RNA". Lineage: Bacteria; Bacillati; Bacillota; Bacilli; Caryophanales; Bacillaceae. The record is from Rfam by way of RNAcentral.
GUUUAAGGAACUUCUCCUAAACCGCACACGCCCUGUGUGCAGCGGAGAACCAAGAACAUCCUGUUCA